Molecule: non-coding RNA, 1095 nt
Organism: Pelodiscus sinensis (Chinese soft-shelled turtle)
Lineage: Eukaryota; Metazoa; Chordata; Testudines; Trionychidae
Source: RefSeq, a predicted model, not a curated record
ACACCUGAUCUGAGAGGGGGACUUUCUGAUCAGCUGAGUUUGUGACUUGGGAUAAUCUAAUACAUGGAAUAUUCAAAAUGCAGCCACAGUCUGAGAAUAUAUAAAUUGCCUAUAAAACAACAAGGUUAGUCAGGUUUCAUAUCCAGCUUGCAGGUAAAGGGUUACAGAUUCUAGGAAGUAUUAAAUGCAAACUUUAAAGGAUUUUAUUUUCAUCUACAGUCACAUGAUACCCUUAUACCCAAUGACACUAACUACAGUGUCUCAUUAAGAGGUCAUGCAAACUCUCAGGCUAAACAAGGCAUUCUUACAUAUUUAACAUUCAAAUGCUGAAACCAAGCUAAGCCAUGGGAGAUUGUAAUCAGAAAAGAGCUACACUUCCUGACCAACACAAAAGCUGCAGGAUCUGGGCAUUUGAGAAAUUAAACAUUUAGAGGAAUCUGAGUGCACAUCCUUAUUGGUACAUCCUGGAGUACACCCUGAUAGGUGUUACCACACAGCCAGAUGUUAAAAUCAUGAUCGGUCAACUCCCAUUGGCUAUUUGAACCAGUUACUGAAGCUGAGCAGACUAGAAAGACUGCUUCCUUUAGCAGGCGUGCUGGAAAAAUGAGUAGAACGGGUACAUGGCAUGCAGCCUAACAGCCCUGCUGACACUGGAAUUCAAAUGAAUCCAAAAGGAAAGAAUGCAAAAGGUAUGGAGGAAGGGAGGGAGAAUCAAAGAAAAAUAUGACAUGAAUGAUCUGAACAGUCUGGAAUUAAACAUAUAGGGCCAAAUGGAGUUGCACCUAUUCAUUGCAAUUGAAAAUGUGAUCUGUCCUGCUGAUGUCAAUGUCUAAAAGUGUGGGGUAAAAAUUACUGUACUCUUACCGAUAUGUGGCCCCUUGCUCAGGUUUUGUGCUGCAAACCCGAGAUAAUGAAAGGUAGUUUGUACUGCCACUAACUGACCUGUACCUGUUCUAUGAAGAAGAAACUACAAGCUCCAUGGAUAAUGGCAAACCUUUCACAAGCACUAAAUACACUAAAAUAACUAAUGCUAAGGAAUAUAUAUAUAUAUAUAUAUAUACACACAUACACACACACACACUCACACUAUAUUAG